Long non-coding RNA from Corythoichthys intestinalis (scribbled pipefish), 896 nucleotides. RefSeq lists it as uncharacterized. The transcript has 3 exons. The record is from RefSeq and is a predicted model, not a curated record. Lineage: Eukaryota; Metazoa; Chordata; Actinopteri; Syngnathiformes; Syngnathidae.
CUAAAGAACCUAUUUUAAUAAAUUGAAAAAACACAAAAUGUCAGUUUUGAAACGUGUAAUAGUCUAAUAUUAUUACUAUUCUGUUCUAUUAUAUUAUUACUAUUAUUACAUUACAGAAAAUAUAGAUAAAAGCCAGUAUUUCCAGGAAGUAAGGGCGGACAUUUUAUCACUGCUGGUACUACUUCAGCCAAUCAAAUGUCAAAGGCUAGCGAAGGAGCUGUCACCGCGGCGGAUGGAGGAACCGGCUUCCGCGGGAGGCACCUGGACGCAAAUACAAUAAGCGUUAACCACGGAAAACAAUAAAUAGUCCGGCUUGCGACCAUCUGUCAGCUGGAUGUAUGAAGAAGGCGCUCCAACAGAUGAAAUCAAGCAGCAGAGCGGAGGGAGCGAAGCUAAAAUGCUCCGGAGAUGCCAAGCAGCCAGAGGACUACACGGCGAGGAACUGAAAACACCGGCGCCGCUGUUCGUUUGGAGACAUUCUGUCAAAGUCGGGCUCGGGCCUGACACCGCCGAUCACACUUUGACGGACAGUAAGAGUAGCUCUCGCUGACGGGGUCCUAUUAAGGUGGAUGUUUUCAAAGUUUUCACUCGGCACUGGGGAAAAAAUAGGAAGGACACAGAGGGGAAGCGGAGCCUGAAUGGAGCUGACAUGCUUCAAGACCCUCUUCCCCAAACGCGCUGUCGGGGGUCAAAUCGCUUUCCUUCACCCAACGUGUCUAAUGGAGAGUUGGGAAUAGCCUCACUUCUUAUAGUCACAAACAAGUUCUCACACAAUCCCAACACACAACAACUGUAUUGACUAGACUUGUCUUACUUCGUCGCUCAUUUGACGACUUUCUUGGCUAAAACUUUUGAUAAGACUCCACUUUUGAUUCCUUGACUUAACAAGUCUUACU